Molecule: ribosomal RNA, 703 nt
Filed under: uncultured bacterium
Lineage: Bacteria
Description: bacterial SSU rRNA
Rfam family: Bacterial small subunit ribosomal RNA
Source: RNAcentral
AGAGUUUGAUCAUGGCUCAGAAUGAACGUUGGCGGCGUGGAUUAGGCAUGCAAGUCGCGCGAUAAAUUACCUUCGGGUGAUGGAAAGCGGCGAAAGGGAGAGUAACACGCGGGUACCUACCCUCAGGACCGGGAUAGCUGCGGGAAACUGCAAUUAAUACCGGAUGAUGUCUCCGGACCAAAGGUGUGAUUCCGCCGGAGGAGGGGCCCACGUCCUAUCAGCUAGUUGGCGAGGUAAUAGCUCACCAAGGCUACGACGGGUACGGGGUGUGAGAGCAUGCCCCCGCUCACUGGGACUGAGACACUGCCCAGACACCUACGGGUGGCUGCAGUCGAGAAUCUUCCGCAAUGGGCGAAAGCCUGACGGAGCGACGCCGCGUGCGGGAUGAAGGCCUUCGGGUUGUAAACCGCUGUCAGUGGGGAGGAAAUGCACGGGGGUUCUCCCUUGUGCUUGACCGAUCCGCAGAGGAAGCACAGGCUAAGUUCGUGCCAGCAGCCGCGGUAACACGAACUGUGCAAACGUUAUUCGGAAUCACUGGGCUUAAAGAGUUCGUAGGCGGCACGUUAAGUCGGGUGUGAAAUCCCUCGGCUCAACCGAGGAAUUGCGUCCGAAACUGGCGUGCUUGAGUAAGAUAGAGGUGAGCGGAACUGAUGGUGGAGCGGUGAAAUGCGUUGAUAUCAUCAGGAACACCGGUGGCGAAAGC